Molecule: ribosomal RNA, 253 nt
Filed under: uncultured bacterium
Lineage: Bacteria
Description: partial 16S ribosomal RNA
Rfam family: Bacterial small subunit ribosomal RNA
Source: RNAcentral
UACGUAGGGGGCAAGCGUUGUCCGGAUUUAUUGGGCGUAAAGAGCGUGUAGGCGGCUUGGUAGGUCCGCUGUGAAAACUCGAGGCUCAACCUCGAGAUGUCGGCGGAAACCACUUGGCUAGAGUCCGGAAGAGGAGAGUGGAAUUCCCGGUGUAGCGGUGAAAUGCGCAGAUAUCGGGAGGAACACCAAUUGCGAAGGCAGCUCGCUGGGACGUUACUGACGCUGAGACGCGAAAGCGUGGGGAGCAAACAGG